UUGAAUUUAAGGCAUUGC
This 18-nucleotide small nuclear RNA is filed under the name Arabidopsis thaliana (thale cress). Its description in RNAcentral is "snRNA_08124". The record is from RNAcentral. Lineage: Eukaryota; Viridiplantae; Streptophyta; Magnoliopsida; Brassicales; Brassicaceae.